RNAcentral lists this ribosomal RNA (1127 nucleotides) under metagenome. RNAcentral describes it as "bacterial SSU rRNA". It matches the Rfam family "Bacterial small subunit ribosomal RNA", at positions 267 to 1416 of the family's 1533-position model. The record is from RNAcentral.
ACCAAGGCCACGAUCAGUAGCUGGUUUGAGAGAACGAUCAGCCACACUGGGACUGAGACACGGCCCAGACUCCUCCGGGAGGCAGCAGUGAGGAAUUUUCCGCAAUGGGCGAAAGCCUGACGGAGCAAUACCGCGUGAGGGAUGAAGGAUUUUGGUCUGUAAACCUCUUUUCUCAAGAAAGAAGUUCUGACGGUACUUGAGGAAUAAGCAUCGGCUAACUCCGUGCCAGCAGCCGCGGUAAUACGGGGGAUGCAAGCGUUAUCCGGAAUCAUUGGGCGUAAAGCGCCUGUAGGUUGUUUAAUAAGUCUGUUGUUAAAGACUNGGGCUUAACCCNAGNAAAGCAAUGGAAACUACUAGACUAGAGUAUGGNAGGGGUANAGGGAAUUUCUAGUGUAGCGGUGAAAUGCGUAGAUAUUAGAAAGAACACCGGUGGCGAAAGCGCUNUACUGGACCAUUACUGACACUCAGAGGCGAAAGCUAGGGUAGCNAAAGGGAUUAGAUACCCCUGUAGUCCUAGCCGUAAACGAUGGAUACUAGAUGUUGNGCAUUANUGUGCAGUNUCGUAGCUAACGCGUUAAGUAUCCCGCCUGGGGAGUACGNUCGCAAGGNUGAAACUCAAAGGAAUUGACGGGGGCCCGCACAAGCGGUGGAGCAUGUGGUUUAAUUCGAUGCAACGCGAAGAACCUUACCAGGGCUUGACAUACUACNAAUNNUUUUGAGAAAAANNAGUGCCUUCGGGAAUGUAGAUACAGGUGGUGCAUGGCUGUCGUCAGCUCGUGUCGUGAGAUGUUGGGUUAAGUCCCGCAACGAGCGCAACCCUUGUUUUUAGUUACCAACUUGUUGGGUUUUCUAGAAAGACUGCCGGUGACAAAUCGGAGGAAGGUGAGGAUGACGUCAAGUCAGCAUGCCCCUUAUGUCCUGGGCUACACACGUGCUACAAUGGCAGAGACAAAGCGUCGCUAGCUCGCGAGAGUAAGCUAAUCGCAUAAACUCUGCCUAAGUUCAGAUUGUAGGCUGCAACUCGCCUACAUGAAGUUGGAAUCGCUAGUAAUCGCUGGUCAGCCAUACAGCGGUGAAUCCGUUCCCGGGCCUUGUACACACCGCCCGUCACACCAUGGGAGCUGGUC